CUCUCAGUUGCUCCAUGUACAGAGCCGUUGCGCCUUCUGCUACCUUGAACAUCCACUCGGUUGCAAAGAACUGUGCGUCCUCGUUGUUUGAAUCACCAUUGGUUGAGAUUCCUUCAGCUAGAGGCUCAAGCUGCUGAGGUAAAGUCAGGAGAUAUUAUCCAAUGCUUGUAACGUAAGCCUGAGGGUAUGAGCUGAAGUAUGGUAGAGCAAACACAGUUUGUUCCUCCACAGAAGACCAGAUUGGUAGGCGAGAUACUUCCCCGAGUCUUUGCCUGACUUUUGAUAUGAGGAUGUCAUAUACAAGUUUGUUCACUGUGUCCGCAAACGCAGCUACUCUCUGAGAUGCCAAAGGCAGUGCGUGGAACCUUGGAUCUUUUGACUGCAAAAAAAAAAAAAAACAGCAAAAGGAAAUGAUACAUAUGAACAGUGUAUAUUAAUUUAUGAAUCUUUGUCAAUUAAGACUACCUGUUCCAACAGGUUUAGGAGUUUGCGAGCCUUCUCCGGAACAUCAACCAACCGAAUAGCUGCCACAUCCAGGGAAGCUCGUCCAGCCAUAGACAAAUCUCCAGCUGUUUGUUCACUUGUCAAAUGUGACAGGUUCUGAUCCAGAUUUGUGCCAAAUAGUGAAAUAGACAAGCUGGAGUUUAGUCUAGCCAGAGUGGCUCUCAAAGAAGCUUCAAACACAGAAGACCUGCUCAAGUCAGCUUCUCACCGUCUUUAUAGGAGCUUUCGUCUAAUAUUUUAAGCCUUCUGGUGUUGUCAAUCGAGACAUGGUAACAUAAAACUGUCCAUGGGUAAAUACAGGCCGGGGAAGAUAUAAAGCUGACUUGCUUUAGGCUUUGGCCUUGACUUUUAUUUAUUGUCAUGGCAUAGCUAAGUCGGAUUGGGUAUUGCCGUCUACGAAGUUAAAAGGAUGUAUGCUGUCAGUUGGGCUUAGCUGUAUCCUAGGGAGUAAUAUUCGUUCACCAACUUCUGGUCCGGUCAUUUUUAUCAAAAAAAACAAAAAAAAACUUCUGGUCCGGUCAUAAUCUCCACUUCGACAAUCACCAAGCCAUGAUCCUGAUUAACGUUGCGCAGUGAAUUCAAAGGAGUAGCAUGAAUGUAGUUUACUCAAACCGUGCCCAAACUGAUCCGAUUCUAAUGUAUUUUAUAAAUUCCUUACUAACAUUUUCUUGUAUUCCUCCUGUGUAUUAAAAUAAUUUUAAAAUAAAAUCUAAAAAUUAAACCCGGCUGGAAUUAUUCAUACGUUAGUCUCCCAAUUAAUCUUGAAAUUUGAAUAGUUACAAAACAACUAAAAUUUUAAUAAAUCAACAAUUCCAAUUUAGUUAUAUAAUUAUAACUUUAUUUUUCUUAAUCUUAGGAAGAUUGUGAAUGAAUUUACUUGUUCCGUAGUCAUUUGUAUCUAAACCGAAACAUAUAGUAAAAAAAAAACUAAAUAUUAGGAAUUAGUAAAUCAGAGUAUUUCGGUUGGAAUGUCACGUAAGAUGAUAACUCGAAUAAUACUGAAAGUCUGUAUAGUAACUAAUUAUUUAAAUAUUCUAUUAUAUCAUUACUCAAAAGUUAGUUAUAGGAUGACAAAAAGUUUCCUUUUAGUAUUGUUAUGAUUUCAACGUCAAAAGCCAAAAACGCAAAGGAGUAGCAUGAAUGGAGUUUACUCAAACCCUGCCCAAUCUGAUCCGAUCACAAUUCUAAUGGAUUUUUCCACUUUUAUUUCAGUUAAAAGAAUUGAAAAAACUAUAUAAGAGGGAAUAAAUUGAAAUAGUUUUUUUUAUUAUUGACUGAAACAAAGAUAAUCAAAGUUGCGAAAGUACUGCAGAUAAAUAAGAAGUAUUUAAACUUGGAACAUGAAACCAUAACUGCUGGUAUCCAAUUUCUUGGCCAUCUUGGUAGAUGAGUGGGUCCUCUUCUUCGCCGAAGCAUCGGCUGGUUUCGCAUCAGUAUUCUUAUCUGCAUCAUUACUGCCUUCUCCAGUUUCAACACGAACAGUAACCGGACCACCAUCUGCCAUGUCAGCAUCAUCACCAUCGUUUCUCCCCUGAUACAUUCGGAAAGUGUUACAUACUAACAGACAUACAUAGAUAAUCAAAGGUUAGCAAAAUCACUCUUACCUUAACGACAAAGUCAGGAACUGGAACACGCUCAUGCUCUUAAGGAUGCGGGUGAUGGUGAGGUCUAAUGGUGUGCAGUGAAGUUAAACGUGCUAACUCUGACCUGGAAGGUGAAUGUUUUUCCUUCCAUGUCUGUGAUAAACAGCGGCACCUAAGAGUCCUCAGGAUUUACUCCUUCCUCAGCCUGUUCGUCAGAUUGAAAGCACCAUGUAUGUUAGCAUUUAUAUUUAAUAAUCCUUUAAGAAGACUAAUGCACAUCUUACCAACACUGACCGGCUUCACUUGCUCGGAGGUUAUGCAGCUUAGUCAUCACACCAUCAAAACACACGAAUGCACCUUCAACUGUGCUAUCAGCGAUUGCCAACUCCACACGAUAACUGACGGAUUUUACGGAAAAAAUGAAGACGUCCAUGCCUCUCCAAGGAUAGAAAUUAACGCCCUACAAACUUUCAGUUUUGAAUUAUUGCCUAUACACUAUCUAGCCCUUGAGUAAUUUGCCUAUAAUGAUUUCAAGAAUUUUAAUCAUAUUUUUCUUCCUCCCAACAAGCUAGGCAUUUCGAAUCGUGACUGUGACCAGUUUUACAAGUGCAUCACAUCCGUCUUCUCGAAGUGGACUUUUAUUUAAACGUCACCGUGCUAUCACAUACGAGUUCCUGGAGCUUUGUUUUCAAAAGUUUAACAUGUGUGUUAUAGGUUUCUACGCCGUUACUUUUCUGAUUUUAUGAUAAACAGGUUUAAGACAGAAUUUUUACAUAAACUUUGGUUAUGAUCUGGUAUCUGUAUCUAUUUUUUUCAAGUGUUUAUGCACCUCCCUACAGGGAAUCACUUCCAAAACAAACAACAAAAAAAAUUAACUAUAUGAUUUCCUACUUAUUUCUACCCAGAAACAAACUAAUAUCUUAAAACAUGAACGGUUGUUAUUGCAAAAAAAUCAAACAAAUUUAUUAGUUUGAUGGGAUUUAUUGUUUUCAAAGUCUAGCAUUUAUAAUAUAGAAUAAAUACUUUAAAAAUAUAGUAGAUCAAGAUGAGAUGGUCAACAUUUUAAGGAAAACAAGUGAAAAGAAAGAUGACUGAAAAGAAUAAGAGAAAUUCUUGGGUUCACCCCCUAGGUGAAUCUAUAGGUUCACCAACCAAUGAAAAUUGGUUAUUUUAUAUACAAUUUUUUCAAAAAAGGAACAAAAUUUUUAGAAUUUAUUUUUUUAAAUAAAAGGAUAAAAUAAAUAAAAAAACGUAUAAUAACAAUAAAAGAUGAUUUUUUUAAUAUUGUUAAAGCUGUUCAUACUAAACACUAAAUCCUAAACCCUAAACAUGAAACCCUAAACCCUUGGAUAAAUCCUAAACCCUUGGGUAAAGAGAUAUUCCAACGGUAUGAGUCUAUCCAUGGGUUUAGGAUUUACCCAAGGGUUUAGGGGUUUAGGGUUUAGUAUGAACGGCUUUAACAACAUUAAAAAAUUCAUUUCUUACAGCAGCUACUAUUUUUUUAUUUAUUUUUUAAUUUUACCUAAGGGUUUAGGAUUUAUCCAAAGGUUNNNNNNNNNNNNNNNNNNNNNNNNNNNNNNNNNNNNNNNNNNNNNNNNNNNNNNNNNNNNNNNNNNNNNNNNNNNNNNNNNNNNNNNNNNNNNNNNNNNNUUCUUCUUAAAUCGUUAUGGGCGUCAAUAUGCUUCUCCUUGAAGCCAGUUGCCUCCGGCGAUUUAGAAAAAAACUCAAGUUUUUUUCUGUAAGAUUUACAAGUAACGUGAUCUUAAUUAAUUUGUGAUCUUAGUCAUACGAUGUUUGCUUCUUCAUUUUGUUAAGCUCCUCGGUCUUUUUAAUCUGACAAUGGCUCGAACAAAUGCAGAUGAUGAUUUAAAGUCAAAGUCUUUACAAGCUGAGUUUGGCGAAAAGAGGAGCUUUGGUCGCGGUUUCUGUAUUACAGUCAAGAGAUUGCAACAUAUAAAAAAAUUACUAAUGCUCUGCUUCAUAGAAGGUAUGAAGCUACAUAUGGAGAAAUUCAAUGAUGGUAUUGUACUAAGAUAAAGGCUCCUUAGUAUAUUGAAACGAGAGUCUAUAGUGGGGACAUGUAAAGUUCCUAUGUUAUAAAUACCAUUUGAGUCAAAUAUCAUAUGUAAAUUUUUUCUUGAGUCGAUUUUAGUUUUCAACAAUGUUUUUGUUUUUAAAAAAUAGAUUAUUGUAUGAUAGUUUUAAGCAAUCUGCAGGAUAUUACUGAGAAAACAAAUCUCAUCCAUGCCCAACAGAGUGGUUAUUCCGUGUUGAUAUUGUUAAUAAAUGGAAAGAGUCUAACGGUUUCAGUGCUGCCCAGAUGUUUAGAGAAUAUCAAGAUGUCUGAUACGGCCUUACUGGUGAGAAGAGCAUUGUCUUUAAGCCAAUAUACUUUGUUUAUGGAUCUUCAAUAGAUUCUUUUGUGAAAAGGGGAUUAGAAGUCUUUUGGUUCAAUGGAAAAUUAGCUCAGCAGUCCAGUGAGAAAGUGUUGAAGGAUGCAAUGAAACCAUCACAAAACAGUAAGUAAAUUGAUAAGUUUCUGACAAAAAACUGUGAAUCAAGAAUAAAAUUAAAUAACUGUAUGAUAAUAUGACGUAUCAGGUUCUGCUUAUGUCUAUGAAAGCUGGCGUCGAACUGAAUCUAACCGCUUCUUCACACGUCUUCUUAACGGUACAGUUUAUCUUUACGAUUACGUUUAAGUUCUUCUUGAUCAUGAAGAGUUGAUGACAUAAAUGAAAAUUAAUAGCGUAGGGCAGAAAGAAUGGCAUGUGGAAGAAGCUUCAUUGUUAAAGUAAUACUAAAAAUUGCAUUCUCAUUGAGUUUCUUGCAUCGUAAGUAAUAUAUUUCUCAGUAACAUGGUAUGUUUUUGGAUGAUCCAGACCAGGUCACCUUCUACACUCCUGGGCGUGACAAGUCAGAUAAUAGGAAAACAAAAGCUUGCUACAUGUCUCUCUAAGGUAGUUUUGUUUCUUCCUGAAUUGGUCUAAACAAGCAGAAGAAGGCUAAGGGAAACCGGAACAUUAUCUUCUGGUUGGACACAGAGGUAAACCAAAUCAAUUUUUUAACCAUCUGAACUUUUUUUUCUAAUCAAACUGGUUUUACUUAACGGGGUUAUGAUUUUGUUGUAAUAUCUUUAAGCGCUUGGAAUGCAUUGGAUCGUUUGGUGCAAGAAAAUUUUAUGUAUAAGAAACCAGGAGAAGAAGGUGGUCAAGUAAAGUGAUGGAAGAUCUAACUCCAUUAAUGGAGCUAUAAUAGGAGGAAGCUUUAUGCUUGGAUCAACAAGUCUCCACCCAUAAAUGUAGACAAGACAAUCAGUUUUUUUUUUUUUGCAAUUAUUAUUUGUUCCCAAUAGUCCAAAAACUACCGUUGACGAAGUCUUUUUCUUUUGUAUUUCUCAUUCACUAUAAAUAAAAAUUUCAAAUUUCUUCUUGAUUUUGCCUUUAUGUGAUAGAUUAAAACAAAAGAUUUUGUUUGGUAUGUACAAGCAAAUGUUACUUUUAUGUUAGUUUCGACUGCGAUUAGCGUUUGAUGUUGUUUGAAAUGUCAAUUUGAUCUCUUUCUUUUGCAAUGGUGCAACUGAGAAGUUUCAUGCAGGCAUAAAAGUAUUCAAAUCUGUUUUAAAUUUGUGGCCAAUAUAGUGGAUAUUUACUCUUGGAUAUAGAGGAACUCUAUUAUAGAAGUAUACAUUGGAGCAAAUCCACCUCUAUAAUAGAGAUCUCUAUUUUAGAGGAAAAUAUAGAGAUAUACAUUGGAGAUGCUCUAAUAUAGUGGAUAUUUACUCUUGGUUGCAAUAGCUAAUGAUUCACGAUAUUGGUUGCAAAGGGAACAAUGGUACAUGAUCAAGCAACGGGCUAUUGGUGGCCACAAAUUUUUUUGUUAAAAAAUUAGUUUCUGAAUAUGUUCCAACUUAAAUUUUUUGAAGUGUGAUUUUACAAGUUUUCUGAAUAUUAAUAUAACGUUUGAAUCAUUGGAAAAUGGUAAUAAUUUCAUGAGAUUAACAGAGCAUAAACCCAUAUGAAAUUAAGUUGUGAGGGUUUUAGGAAAAUUGGAUAUUUAGUUCCAAAAUAGAGCAACGAUAUUAAGAUUAUUUUGUUUUUGUUAAAGAACAAUGUUAAGAUUUGUUAUCAUAUAAAUAUAUGUACUAAUAGUGUUGUCAUAUAAACAUAUGUACUUAUAGCAAAUCACACUUCAAAAAUGUUCAAUUGUAUCAAAAUGAUAGGAUACAUAUUUAUUUGUGUAUGUGCAUGACUUUUAUCGUAUCUCCCUUCAAAACUAUAGUAUGCAAUAAUGCUGACUUUCAUUUUACUAUUGAACAAACUUCCAAAUACGUUCCAACUAAAAACUCUAACAAUGUGAUUUCACCAUUUAUUUAUAAUAUCCCAUAAAAUAAAAUAAUAAAUCAAAAAGAACUAAAAAAUAUCCUAACAAACAAUGAUUUUAAACUCAUUUUCAAAUGGAAAUAAUGUUUCAUAAGCUCAAACCAACGAAAAGAUCUAAUCUCACAAAUAUUUUUUCUUUUGUGUUACCAAACUCAAAAACCAAAAAAAUAAUAUGAAAAUUAAUGGAAAAGCAAAAUGAGCAAUUAUACAUAAUCAAACAUAUAGUUAAAAAAGAGUAACACUAUCUAAUAAAUAAAAUAAAAUACAAAUAGCAUACAUAUUACUAUCUCCCAAAUAUCAACACACUUUUAAAUAAAGCAAAAUGGCAUCGAUACAUCGUCUCUUGCAUUUUUUAAUUAAAGAAAGUAAUUACAAAGUUUUGACGAACCGCAAUACACAAUAAAUCUAAAAAUAACAUAUGAUAAUGGAUUACCUCAAAUAAAUAAAUUUAAAAAAAAAAAUAAAAUACAUCGUCGCAAUAAAGAUAAAAUAUUAUAUCAUUCCAAGAACCACAACAAUAUAAUUAUGCAAUUUGGUCAACAACAGCUAAUUCAGCUCUCGAUAUCAUUAGAUAUUAUAUAAAUAAUGAUCACAUGUAAAUAAUGUUUCACAAAAGCAGAAAAUUAUGCUUUUGAAAAUAAAAAUAUGUCGAUCUAAACACUUAAUUACGUCAAAAUCCCGCGCGAAGCACGGGCUUGCCCUAGUAUUGCAUAACUAAGAGUUUAAUUACUUUCUCGCUUUCAACCUACAUGAAUUCUUAAGUUGGUGCAUAAUUACUCUGAAACUUGUUUUUAUCUAAAAAGUAUUAUUAAAAUAUAAAUUGAAAAUUGUUCAUUCAAUAAUAAAAUAAACUACAAAAUAUCAUUAGUUAUGAAUUUUUGAUAAAAGUAAAAAUUACAUUGAAAAAAAUGGAAACAUCUUCUAUUUUUAAACAUCAAAAACUUCCUUGUUUAAACCAGAUGGGGUAUAACUUUAUUACAUUAUAUUAAGAAAACAAAGAAACUUGUCCUAUGAUAGCAUCAAAACUUGGAAAUGUGUAAUACAAAUAUGACAAUGGCCAGCCGAACAAAUUAGUUAGCAUGGUCCUCUUCGUAGGGCACAAAAGCAUGUUUUUGAGAGUUCAGAGACUAAUCGAAACUGAUACGACGCAUCUUACAAACAAGAUUACCCGUAGGGAAAUCAAGUUCACUACCAGCGUCUGAUUUCAUCACAUCUUUGAGCUCAUCUCUUGGUGUAGCCACACACGUCUGGAAAGUUGCAAGCACAGGAGGAAUCGGCAUGGACAAGGCUGCAAGCACAUUGCUCAAGUACUCUAUAUCUAUACACAGUUGCUGUGCUCCUCGGUCUGAAAUGUAUUGGAUUCCUCUCAGUUGCUCCAUGUACAGAGCCGUUGCGCCUUCUGCUACCUUGAACAUCCACUCGGUUGCAAAGAACUGUGCGUCCUCGUUGUUUGAAUCACCAUUGGUUGAGAUUCCUUCAGCUAGAGGCUCAAGCUGCUGAGGUAAAGUCAGGAGAUAUUAUCCAACGCUUGUAACGUAAGCCUGAGGGUAUGAGCUGAAGUUUGGUAGAGCAAACGCAGUUUGUUCCUCCACAGAAGACCAGAUUGGUAGGCGAGAUACUUCCCCGAGUCUUUGCCUGACUUUUGAUAUG
This 8116-nucleotide long non-coding RNA is filed under the name Brassica rapa (field mustard). RNAcentral's name for it is "long non-coding RNA (BRAP_LNC007711)". The record is from RNAcentral. Lineage: Eukaryota; Viridiplantae; Streptophyta; Magnoliopsida; Brassicales; Brassicaceae.